GAUGAAGAACGUAGCGAAAUGCGAUAAGUAAUGUGAAUUGCAGAGUUCAGUGAAUCAUCGAAUCUUUGAACGCACCUUGCGCUCCUUGGCAUUCCGAGGAGCAUGCCUGUUUGAGUGUCAUUAAAUUCUCAAGACCUGUCUGCUUUUUUGAUAGGUAUUGGAUUUUGGGGGUUGCAGGCUGUUUCAAAUAAAUAGCCUUGCUCUCCUUGAAUGUAUUAGUGGAGAAAAGCCAUUGAACUCCAUUGGUGUGAUAAAACCUAUCAAUGCCAGGAGCAAUAUCACUACUUCUCUCUGCUGUCUAACUGUGACUGUCUGUAUUAAUUAGUAUGGAUGGGGACAACUUGACCAACUUGACCUCAAAUCAGGUAGGACUACCCGCUGAACUUAAGCAUAUCAAUAAGCGGAGGA
Molecule: unclassified non-coding RNA, 408 nt
Filed under: soil metagenome
Description: partial contains 5.8S ribosomal RNA, internal transcribed spacer 2, and large subunit ribosomal RNA
Rfam family: 5.8S ribosomal RNA (bases 1-120)
Source: RNAcentral